RNAcentral lists this long non-coding RNA (1847 nucleotides) under Nicotiana tabacum (common tobacco). RNAcentral describes it as "long non-coding RNA (NTAB_LNC017314)". Lineage: Eukaryota; Viridiplantae; Streptophyta; Magnoliopsida; Solanales; Solanaceae. The record is from RNAcentral.
CAGUCACAAUCUUCACCAAUUAACCAAAACGAGUUUUCACCAACUAACCAAAACAAGCUUUCACCAACAAUACCAGCCUUAUCAACAUAAUAAUAUUAAAUCCAUCUCAAAAAUACAAAAAAGUACGAUACUAGUAACUAGUCCAAAAUAACGAAUGAAUACACAUAACACUAAUAAAAAUAACUAUGAAGCGUCUCUAAGAGUUCAUAAGAAAAGACGAUAAUAAAUAAAUAAACUCUUCGCCCACACGAACAAGUGUGGGGCUCACCAGGAACUAUCAAAUCGUGUACUCUACUAAUUAAUGAAAUUUUCUCUCACGUCAACUUUUAUCUGUAAAAAAAAAUAGCGGGGAGUGAGUCGCUAGGUCAGUGAGUAAUAAUACUUAACCACAAUUAUUUUUUAAUCGGAGACAAGUCAGAAAACAUGCAUGUUUAAUAAUAAUCAGAUACUAUCAUAAAAAUAAAAUGCCCUCUUAGAACGAUAAAUAUAAUCAGUCUAUUCAUGUAUUUCUUGUAAUAGAAAUCAAUUUAAUAAAUCAGUAAUAAACUCGGUAAACACUGUGUCGUAGCAAAUCUUUAUGUUUGGGAGGUUUCCAAGAAAGGAUCGUAUAAUUUAUAUCACUAUGUGGACCCCUUCGUAAAAGAAGUCAAAUAUAACUGUAGUCCCUACUCGAGAAAAAACUGUUACUGUAUGUUAGUUCUAUCUUCCCACUAGCGAGGGCUAUAACUAUAAUCGGUCAUCUGUAAAUACAAGGUGCACCAGGUCUAACGAACCCGCCGUUAGCUACGGGAUCCUUCAAAGUCUCCUCCCAUUUAUACUUCUUUUUGUAAACAGUAAAUAUUCACAUGGAAACAUUUUCAAAAUAGUACAGGGCAUUCCAAUUCUUAUCAAAUCAUGUAAUCCAAUUUCGGUAAUGGUAAUCAUAUCUCAAGUAAUAGUAAAACAUGUCAAGUAACAAUGAGAAUCUUUUAAACAACUGUAAACAUCUCAAGUAAACUAUUCAGUAUCAUAUCAAGUAAAGAACUUGUCCCACAUGCAAUUUCAAACAUUCGGUAACACAUUUUAUUUUCAAAAUAACGUANNNNNNNNNNNNNNUACUCACCUCUUGAUGCCAUGUAGCCAAAGCUCGACUUCUUAUCAAUCCAAAUGCUCAAUUUGUGUGUAAUCUAUAAAUCAAUAUAAGUUUAGUGUUACCACUCAUGAACUCUAUAAUCUAUUUCGCUUUCAGUAGAAUUUUCGGUUACAACCAGCAUCUUGAUUUCACUCUUCGUAUCAUUAUUUUUUCUUAAAAAAAAAUAUCUAUCGCUAAUUUAUUCUUCCAAAUCUCAAAAUCUUUGUACUACUCCUUUACUAAAUCGUACAGAAAACUUGCAGGAUUAGUAAUAAUAAGUUCUCAUAUUGUAUCUUCUUAAUAACUUGUUAGGAAUAAGUUCUUCCUUGAUAUCCCCGUGUUAUUGUAGAUUAUAAUCUUUUUUUUUAUGCUCAACUAAUCCAUCAAUUAGCUUAUGCAGAAUAUAAAUCUGAUUUUGUUCAUGAGCAUCCUCGCAUCCAAGCCAAUUGCAACGCUCCAUACAGAGUGACAAUAUCAUCUUUUUAGUUCUACCCAUAACAUCUUUCACUGGUAUUAAAUUUUCAAUAUCAUGAACAUAGCAUAAUUAUAAUAUAGACUAUCUAUCAAUAAAUUAGAAUAAGAGUUCAAGUAAAUACCCGAAAGAAUCAGUAAGUAGUUAAGAUUUCUUGGCUUCUACUGACAUGAUUCCACGCAUUGUAUUAGUUCCUCUCCAGAAUCCUUUGCUUUAAGCUUUUACGGCUAUGCAAAGUCCCUUUUUUUCUUUUAACCCUUAAAC